AGGGGCGGGGCGGCCGCGCGGUGUGAGUCGUAGAAUCACAAAAUCCUUACGGUUGGGGAAGACCUCCCAGAUCUAGUUCAACCAAUGACCAAUCCCCGCAGUGCCUGCUAACCAUGUCCCUAAAUACAACAUCUGCACGUUCCUUGAACACCUCCGGGGACAGUGACUCCACCACCUCCCUGGGCAGCCCGUUCCAAUACAUCAUCACUCUUUCUGAGAAGAACUGUUUCCUAACAUCCAACCUGAACCUCCCCUGGCACAACUUAAGGCCGUUACCUCUCAUCCUGUCACCAUUACCCGGGAGAAGAGGCCGAUCCCUGCCUCACCACAACCUCCUUUCAAGUCGCUGUGAACAGCGAUGAGGUCUCCCCUUAUUUUUGUAUGGCUUAGAAGCUACUACUGUUAUUUUUUUAUUCCUUUUAAUUCUUCCACAGCUUAUUGAAGCAGGUGAGUGCACUCCUAUUACUAAAAAAAUAAUUCCUAGAAAAACCAUUAUCACAUCCAGAUGAGUGACACUUGAUAUGGUAAACAGCCACCCCAGGGAGAGCAUGAUUAGUGAAGAGUAUGUGGGAUGGAACUUCGGAGCACACUGAAGACCAAACUGGAGAACAGCUGGAGAGAUGCACAAGGCCCUUUUUCACUUCCGUUUCAUUUUUGGAAGAUGUACAUGAAGACAUACGGCAUUCAAAUGAACACGGUCCCACUCCUCCAAGGACUGUGGGAAAGGUCUGCAGAGCUGAUCUUCAAACAGCAGCUCCUGCUGCUAGUGGGACGGCCUCGAGCAGUUCCCACGUGCGUGUUGCUGGAGUG
This 810-nucleotide long non-coding RNA is filed under the name Gallus gallus (chicken). Its description in RNAcentral is "long non-coding RNA NONGGAT007170". Lineage: Eukaryota; Metazoa; Chordata; Aves; Galliformes; Phasianidae. The record is from RNAcentral.